GCUAGACGGGACGCAGUAACACGUAGGCGAACGUACCCCUUUAGUGUUUCUGUGAACAACCCAAGUGUAAACUUGGGUGCCUAAAUACCGUGCAUAAUGAUCCAGCAAGGAGGUAAACGACUUUAUUCGGCUCAAAGGAUCGGACCCGUCGUCUGAUUAGCUAUUUGGCUGCAGCGUUAAUGGCUCACCCAAGGCGACGAUCCAGUAGACUGGUCUGAGAGGAUGAUCAGGCUCACUGGGACUCGAGACACGGUCCUAGAACUCCUCUCAUACGGGAGGCAGCAGUGGGGAAUAUUGGACAAUGGGCGCAAGCCUGAUCCAGCCAUGCCGCGUGGGUGAUGAAGGCCCUAGGGUUGUAAAGCCCUUUCGGCGGGGAAGAUAAUGACGGUACCCGCAGAAGAAGCCCCGGUAACUUCGUGCCAGCAGCCGCGGUAAUACGAAGGGGGCUAGCGUUGCUCGGAAUCACUGGGCGUAAAGCGCACGUAGGCGGAUUGUUAAGUCAGGGGUGAAAUCCUGGAGCUCAACUCCAGAACUGCCUUUGAUACUGACGGUCUUGAGUCCGGGGAGAGGUGAGUGGAACUGCGAGUGUAGAGGUGAAAUUCG
RNAcentral lists this ribosomal RNA (603 nucleotides) under uncultured bacterium. Its description in RNAcentral is "bacterial SSU rRNA". It matches the Rfam family "Bacterial small subunit ribosomal RNA", at positions 97 to 690 of the family's 1533-position model. The record is from RNAcentral.